CGUCGGAAACCAACCACUCAUCUUUCCUGUUUUCCCCAGUAACGUUAAAAACAGUGCACUCUGCGAAACGUCUAUUGUGCCAUAUUUAUAGCACGAUUGUUUGCAGCACCCCGUUGGUUUAUCUCCCGGUGCAAAAUACACACAUGACAAAUUCGCAGGAAUCGAUUUUUUGUUUACACACGUUCUUUCGCGUAUACAUACAUAUUGCAUCAUCGUCUGAUCCUUGAGACUUGAGACUAUCACGUCUGUUCGCUUUUACUUUUCAUAAUUCAAUUUAGAAUAAUUUAGCAGUCACAAAAAAAGUGUAAAUAUAAAUUCGAAGAAAUUCACUUGUAUCUUGUACCAUUUAUACAUUUAUUUAUACAGGGCAUUUUAUUAUACAAAUCUUCAAUAUACAAACGUGGAUUUAACAUAGAAAGUUAAAAUCGGAGGAAUACAAAUAAUUAUAUCGACAUAACCUUAAUCUCUCGUAUUUUUCAAAAUCGAUUAUAAAUUCUAGUAACACUUAAAUGUAAUUAGUUUGGUAUCAUAUAUAUAAAGUUCGACGUACGAAAUUGUUCACGAUUUGAAGUGGAAAAAGAAAGGUAUUACGCCGUUGCUAAGCGUUAAAAAAAAAGUUUCGCGUUUCUCACUGUAACACGUUUCGCGUUACUUCAAAUAUUGAUCAGUAACACGUCGGUGCACGCGUUCAUCGAUGCACAAAGCAUCUCUUUGCAUUCGUAUGUCACACGUGCGAUUCUCUGUGUUACUCACUGUAGCAUUAUUCACGGUAACGUGGGCAGGAUGUGUUUCUUUGACGUACUCUCGUUUAUCGCGUCUUCGUUGAGCAGUCUAUUUGAUUACUUACGCGUAAUGCUUUGUUUAAUGAUCGCGACGGUUUCACGCAACUAAUACCUUCUUUACCGACGUCUUUUCAAAUGCAAAUAAUUUACAUAUAAAUUACAAUUUAAUUAUUACAAUACAAUUAAUUUAAUAAAUUACAAUACAAUUUAAAAUGCAGUGAAAAAUGAUUUUCAAGUGAUGACAAAUUAUUGUCGAUAGAAGAUCGAUAACGUCUAUUCUGAAAUAAUACGAGAGAUAAUUGAAAUUACCUGCGAAAUAAAUCAUUGUUUAAUGGCACCGUAUCUGAGAUAAGCGACACUUAAAAAUCUUAUUGUUCAUAUUUAUUCUCCCUUUCUUUUCGUUCCCACAUAAUUAUACGUCACGGGAUAAAAAUUUUUCCGUCUGAUAAAAAAAGGAAAACAAAAAGAGUAGUGUCCGGUGUUUUGUAACGCUUCUUCGCACGACACGUGUAUCGUUCACGGUACGCCGACUGUUUUGUAUCUUUUUAAUGAUUAAAAGACGUCAGAGGCGCGUAAUUUAAGGUGAAUCGUUAUGAAGCGAUGCCGCAUGAGUCGACUAGAACGAAAGUGCGACGCAAGCGUCUCGGCAGGAAAAAAUAAAGCGAUUAACCGUGCAAUUGCGCUGAGUCGGAAUCUUGAAAAAAAUGAGAGAUGCGUAUUUUCUUUACCUAAUCUAUAGAAGACCGCGUAAAUACACGAUCAGUCACGUGACACAUGAUUCUUCUCUCGCUUUCUCGCUUAUAUUCAUAGAGAUUCUUGAAUAAUUAUUUAGUCAUAAUUUCUGAUUAUCAGCUCCUCUUACGACUAGGCGAAUUAACGAAUUAAUCCUAAACGAGAAUAUACAUUUAAUCUUAUUUAAAUACUUUCAGGCAAGCGUUGCACUUAAAAGUUUUCUGUGUCAUGAUGGCGGCGCUAUCAAUUAUCGAUACACUAUCGAUUUCUUAAUGAUAUCUAAUCAUCGAUAAUAUCGCUGAGACUGAAAUAGAAUCUAAUGCGUAAUUUUACGAUUCAAAUCCUAACCUAACUUUCAUCAUUCAAACUAACCGUAAAUUUAAUUUCGAACAAUAAUUUGCAC
This 1917-nucleotide long non-coding RNA is filed under the name Megachile rotundata (alfalfa leafcutting bee). RNAcentral describes it as "uncharacterized LOC105663032". The record is from RNAcentral. Lineage: Eukaryota; Metazoa; Arthropoda; Insecta; Hymenoptera; Megachilidae.